GAACUUAAGCAUAUCAGUAAGCGGAGGAAAAGAAACUAACAAGGAUUCCCCUAGUAACGGCGAGUGAAGCGGGAAAAGCUCAAUUUUGAAAUCUCCUUCGGGCGAAUUGUAGUUUAGAGAAGCGCUUUCGGGGAUGAAGCCGGCCCAAGUCGUCUGGAACGACGCGCCAGAGAGGGUGAGAGCCCCGUUCGGCCGGUCGAGUCCCUAUGUGAUGUGUCUUCCAAGAGUCGGAUAGCUUGGGAAUGCUGUCCAAAACGGGUGGUAAAUACCAUCUAAAGCUAAAUACGGGCGAGAGACCGAUAGCGAACAAGUACCGUGAGGGAAAGAUGAAAAGAACUUUGAAAAGAGAGUUAAAAGUACGUGAAAUUGUGUAAAGGGAAACGCUUGAUACCAGUAUUGGCGUGCGCAGAUCAGCCGUUCAUUAGGGCGGUGCACUCUGUGUACGCCGGGUCAGCAUCGGUUCGACGUGGGGUACAAAGCCGCGGGAAGGUGACCCUCUGGGUGUUAUAGCCCGCGGUCAUGCCCCGUGUUGGACCGAGGACCGCAGUCGCGCUUUUGGGGAACCGUUCGCCUUGCGCCGAAGCUAACCGACAACUUGUUGACGUUUGGUGUACAGCGUACGCACGGGCGGCUACCACAACACGGCUUAGGAUGCUGACGAAAUGGUCUCAAACGACCCGUCUUGAAACACGGACCAAGGAGUCCAACACAUGUGCGAGUCUUUGGGUGGCAAACCCGAGGGCGCAAUGAAAGUGAAAGGGAACGAGCUUCGGCGCAGUUCCGACCGGUCUGGAUUUUUUUGAUGGAUCUGAGUGAGAGCACAUGUGCUGGGACCCGAAA
RNAcentral lists this ribosomal RNA (840 nucleotides) under uncultured fungus. RNAcentral's name for it is "eukaryotic LSU rRNA". It matches the Rfam family "Eukaryotic large subunit ribosomal RNA", at positions 30 to 821 of the family's 3401-position model. Lineage: Eukaryota; Fungi. The record is from RNAcentral.